GGGCAACCGGGACAGAAUCCGGUGCCCCGACCGGGACUAGAACCUGGUGUGCCGGUGCCGCUAGGUGGAGGAUUAGCCUAUUGAGCCACGGUGCCAGCUUAAGAUAGGGUCUUUAUGGAGGUAAGUAAUGUUAAAAGAGAGAAAACACUGGGUCCGAUCCCUGAUCUGAUAGGGCUGGACUCCUCAACAUAUCAUAGUUGUAAGUCCCAGACUGAUGACUCCAACGUUUCUGCCUCUUCUGAGUCUCGUUCUAUGCUUGCAUUGGCUCUUCACACAGUUAUUUCCACUGUUUAGUUUAGCAUGCCUUACAGCUUUUGCUGAAAGCUGAAAUAUUAUGUAUCAGGCAAAGGGAAUCGAGGUGCUUAGGUAUUUAGUGUGAGGGUUCCUAUUUAUCCGGCUAAUAAUUGGGCUGUGUGUACUGUUCAUGGUAGCUGUAGUGAUGAGACUAAAUGUUUUUCUAGUCUUUCUGUUCAUAUCUCCUCUCUUGUCUCUGGGGCUCUGUAGAGACGUCUUCAUAGACAGCUGUCUCAGAGGUAAUCCCUGUUCCUAGACAGGAGCCCUCUGGAUGUGGUGACGACGGGCAGCGGGGCGGGACGCAUUCACUCUAUUAUCCUGUGAGUAGCUCUUCUAGAAAUCUGUUUCCUGGGCUGUGACAUCACAAGUAUUUCUGUUUCCCUCACUCCUUAAGGCGAGAAAGGAAGACCAGAGUGGACUGGCACUGGACUUUUCCUGUAUCUCAUACCAGUCAGGCUCUUGUAAAACCCAUAUCCGUUAAGCUCUGAUGUGAUGGUUUCCCUCGAGGUUCGCCCUUUGUUAAGGGAAAUAGGAUGCGCUAAGCGUAUUCUGGCGUGGCCACUUUUUCCUUCUCUCUGCCAGAAGCAUGAGGACAUUGUUAUCAUAACUUCAUCCUGAGACACUAGGGGGCUCCUGGAAGUAGAAUUCAUGCGUUAUGGUCUCUUUGAAGGCUAAGGACCAAUGGGUUUUCAAAAAUCUCCCAAGUGAGUCGCACUCACUCUCCACCAGUCAGUUUCUCUCUGUGUUUUCCUCUUAGCUGCUUCCUCCCUCUGAAGCUUCUGCUCUCAAUAAAGAAGGAAUCUCUUUCUUUUUCUGUCUCUCCGGUCAGUGGGGGUGCUCCAGAGAGACGGGACAAACAGGAGACACGUGUACAAGAGAAGCUUUAUGAGGGGACCUGGCACACGUGGCUAUGGAGGUUGAGAGGUCCCAGAACACUCCGGCUGCUGGGAGCUUGUCUCUGUCCAAGCCUGAGAUCCAACGGUUUUCUUCUCAGCAGGAAGCUGAAAAUCUGGGAACCCAGGGGAUCUUGGGUGCAAGCCCUGGAAUCCAAAGGCCAGAGAGCUGGGAGUUCUGAUGUCCAUGGACCAGAGAAGAACACGUUCCAGCCCCCACAGAGAAAAUGGCAGCCCUUCCCUCUGCCUGUUUGCUCUAUGGUGCACUGCAUGGUACCCAACUAUGCAGAGAGCAGACCACCCCACUAGUCUACUGGCCCAAACAUCAGCCUCCUGUGACUAACUGGCCAGCAUCUGGACAGUGCAGGGGCCGGAAGGGAAGAUUCCUGAAGACGGAGAUCAAGCUUGUCAUAGUGGGCUGCUGGGACAUCGAGGGCACGAUGCUGGCCUCUGGUGAGGGCCUUCUUGCUGCAUCGUAGCAUGAGGGAGGGCACACAUGGUGGGGGAGACAGAGCAAGCGUGCUGGCUCUUAGAAAGUCAGUAGCCCAGUCACGGGGGUCCAACCCUGAUGACUUCAUCUAACGCUACCUCCCUCCCAAAGGCCCCGCCUCCAAAUCCCACCAACAGAAGAUUCAGUCUCCGACACAUGAUCUUUGUGGCACAUUCAAACCACAGCCUGAGCGUCUCCAAAGGGAGAAACCCCCAGUGUCUGAGGCUCCCGCUAUCCCUGAAGACUCUGGGCAGCACAUGUCCAUUAGUGACCUCUUCACACCGGGAACUUUUCUUAUCGUGCUUCCAACAGAUUUUUCUAAAAAAUUCAGUUGCUAAGAUGAGUGUAGAGUUCACGUUGGUGUGAGGAGUUGACCUCAAUUAAAAGUUGAGGGGGGAAAAAAAAACCAAAAAACAUGAACAAUAACAUCCUUGGGUUUAAAUUUAUGUACAACGCUUCAGUGGCAUUGACGAACGUGCCAUUUGCAUAUCCGCUGGGCACUGCCCACAUUCUUUCUGUCUUCUCGGGGCUGGGCAUACCAUGACGCCGCGGUCAUGUUGUGUUCUAAUCUUGGGUUCAUUUUUAGACCCUAAAACACAACAUGGAACUCAGGAAGUGUGAAUUUACUUGAACCAAACUGAAAAAAGGUUUUCUCAACCUCUGCAAGAUGAAGCUGCAGAAUUCACAACAGUUUUAAUUAUAACACACUAGAUAAAUACAAUAAGCGGCUCUCUGCUCUGAGGUUGAAAUCUCUAUUUUUAUCUCCAAGCAAACAGUGGGCUGCAGGGGAAAGUCACUACAUUAUGAGUGGUUAUUGGAUCUCUGAGCAUCAACAGCUUCUGUGUCAUUAUAUUGCUUUGUGUGUUAAAGAAAAUCAUUAUCCAGAGAUACAAACCUAGAAAAACAUUUUCAGGUUUUAGAAGAAAUGCUUUUUCCCCCAGGCGAAAAGACUAAGCACAUAAACACCACUGUUACACAAUAACUUGAAAGCAUAAUGCUUCCCUUGACGCUCAGGAAAGCCCUGGAGAGAUGAGGGUAGAACUCUGCCUUUCUCGCCCUCUGCUUUCCAGGGCCUUGAAACGUGGGCCAGGAAAAGCACGGUUUCUCUAGUUACUGCUACAACCAGGAUACACAGGAAGAGCUCUGGGGUUGCCAGAGAGAACAUUCUAGAACUUCUUGUUCAGGGCGCUGGUGGGCUGCAGCAUGGGGGACGGCCCUGAGACCCUGCGUGUACCAUGCAGGGCAGUUUCAGCCGGCACGAUCCUGUUAGUCUUGUUUCUCCGAAGAACCCUGGAAGAACCCUGGAGAACAUUCGUGGGUUCCAGAAAUGCAUACGUACAACACAAUAGGAAGACAAUGAGCAAAGAAACGGGGAUAGAAGAGAAGAAUUACAGGAAGAAGUUAAGAUACCUUCUUACAGAAUGCCGCUUUCUGCUAACCUUGACUAUGAUGACAUCACUGAAUAGAAAUGGUCACUCCCAUCACGGCUUUCCCUGCGAUUCGUGCUUGGGAGACUGUUAUAAGAGAUCUCCCUGAGGGCUCAACGACAUUGCCCCUCACCUCUCUGUAGGUGCUUUGUGUGUCACUCUUCACAUCGAAUCCCAAAGGACUUUGCCUUUCAAAGAAAAAAAGCCCUGUGAGAUCAGGGUGCAGUGCUGUGCUCUUACCAGAAUGUGGUCCCCAAUGCCUCGGGUGCUGGGGACUCCAUCCUCACACCCAUCCGCUGCUGGGAUUUGGAAGUGGGGCCUUUGAGAGGGAUGAGGACGGGAGAGUGGCGUCUCCAGGAUGGGAUUAGCGGCUUUAUAAGAGGGGGAGACACCUGAGCUGGCUUAUCCGCCCUCCUCCCACCGUGUCACGACACCCAAGCCGACCAGCAGCAGGAACCAGCACCUUGGCCAGCACCUGCCACGCUCUGGAAUGAGAGGAAAUAUGCCUCUGUUCUCUGUGGAUGGCCCAGUCUCCAGUCUUCAGGUAUAGCAGUGGAAACUGGACCGAGACAAGCUGUUCCACAGUGCCUUAUACCUCUCGCUUUUCCCCACUGCUCUGGGACGCUGCCACCUGCUAGGCCCCACCCCAAGUCUGCGUAGGGCAGCUCAGGGGCUCGCAUGAGGCGGCACCCACCUCUCUGUGUCUCCUCUGCCAGAACCAGGUCGUGGACUGCUGUGGUCUGCGAUGUGCUGCCACGUGGCGGUGCGGGGGGGAGGCUUCCCUCCCUUGCUUUUCUUUUGCCAAAUCGUCCUAGCUCUGCCUGGACCUCACUUCCCUAGCUGCAUUUUAAAUCUGUUUUUUGAGCACAUAGAGGAAAUCAGCUCUCACUAAGAAAACACUCUAACUGAAAAAUGUAAAUGAAUGCGGCAAGCCCCGUGAUCCGCUUUGAACCUAGGAGUGAAACUCCAAGCGUUAGCCGUGAGUGAAAAUCCAUCCCACGGAGUUUCGAUUGGUCUGGGGCACCCGUGAAUGCUCAUCUCCAAAGUGCUUUGCCUCUGGAAGCCACUAAGGCAGGCACUGCGUUGCCAUGGUAACGGUUACUUUUAGUUAGUACUUUUUAUAGAUUAAAGUGCUACACCCUGGAAUCUGUCCGUGUAAAAGCAUAAAUCUUAAGACAGUAUGGUGCUCCAUUUAAUGUAGAUAUCUAAUGGAAUAGUCAGACUAACUGACCAGAAAUGGAAAGUUUUCAGCAUUUAUAUUCAAAACAGAUAUGCAGUAUUCCCAGAAAUAUAACAUUUUUGUUAAAUAUGCUUGCAAAAUCCAAGUUAACCAUUUUUUCAUCAAUUUAUAUUUUAAAUAAUUAAUCAAUUAUGGCAUAUGCAUAUAUAUAUAUAAAAUGACAGAAGGUUGCAUCCAUCAUUUUAACUUUUUUAUUUUUUAAAAAGAUUUAUUUACUUAUUUGAGAGGCAGAGUUAUAGAUAGAGAGAGGGAGAGACAGAGAAAGAGGUCUUCCAUCUGCUGGUUCACUCCCCAAAUGGCUGCAAUGGCUAGAGCUGGGCUCAUUCGAAGCCAGGAGCCAGGAGCUUCUUGUGGGUUUCCUACAAAGACUUGGGCCGUCUUCUACUCUUUCCCAGGCAACUAGCAGGGAGCUGGAUUGGAAGAGGAGCCGCCAGGACACAAACCAGCAUCCAUACAGGAUGCCGGCGCCAUGGGUGGAGGCUUCAUCUACUACGCCACAGCACUGGUUUUUUUAAAUUUUAUUUUCUAUCCUUGAGGAAAAUCUCCAGUUAUUUUGGAGAAUUCAAAAGACUUGGAAAGGCAUCAACAUGGUGGUACAGUGGGUUAAGCCGCCACUUAGAGUGCUGGUAGCCCAUACUGGAGCGCCGGUUCAAGUCCCCGCUGCUCUGCUUCUGAUCCAGCUCCCUGCUAAUGCGCCUCUCAAAGCAGCAGAAGAUGGUCUAAGUGCUUGGGCCCCUGCACCCAUGUGGGAGACCCAGAUGGAGUUCUGAGCUCCUGGUUCCUGUCUGCCCAGACCUGGAUGUUACAGCCAUUUGAGGAGUGAACCAGCAGAUGGAAGAUCUCCCUCUCUCUGUCUCUGUCAUUCUACCUUUCAAAUCAUAAGUAUAUUUUUAUAAAAAUAAAAGACUUGGGGGACACGAUGUCUCCCCAUCACGGGAGUGAAUGUCAGGCGAGCCCUGGGUGGAAGGGAGCCUGUGAGCCUGGGCUCGGCUGUUGGCUCUGAUCUCUGUUAACUGCGUUGCCUUAAGCCUCCGUUUUCUCAGCCGUAAGACAGGCGUCAUCAAAGCAACUCUCCACGCAGCACUUGUAAAAACCAAACACAUCUUCAGCAAGUGGCAUCUGUGACUUUAAAAAGUGACGGCACAAUGGUCUCAAGUCAACAUUACAGAGAGAGGGAGUGAACGAUACCACGCACACCAGAGCGGAGCCUACUCUACGGCAGAUGGUGUCGGUAGACGCAAGGCCUCAGAGAUGGGGGCUGGGCACAGCUUCCACACCCAUGGGAGAAGCCCUCAGGACAGUGCUCAGCAGGGCAGUGGGGCUGGGCGGAGGGGUCAGGGGCCGGUAGGGUUGGGGGGGGACAAUGGGGCAACAGUGGGAGGACGCAACAGUGGCUUGAGAGCUGCUUUACACAGAGGGUGACAUGGUGACAAGAAGUGUUUCACAAGGAAGGUCUGGCAAACUAAGAGAUGCGUGGAGACAAGCAUGAGGACAGCGUGUGUCCCUGGUCUGAAUCCAGGAAAAGACGCAAAGAGUAAAGAUGGAGAUAUAGGGGCCAGCACCGUGGUGCAGUGGGUUAAAACCCCGGCUUGUAGUGCUGGCAUCCCAUAUGGGCGCUGGUUCAAGCCCUGCCUGAUCCACUUCUGAUCCAGCUCUCUGCUGUGGCCUGGGAAAGCAGUAGAAGAUGGCCCAAGUCCUUGGGCCCCCGCACCCACAUGGGAGACCAGGAGGAAGCACCUGUCUCCUGGCUUUGGAUCGGCGCAACGCGCUGGCCAUAGCGGCCAUUUGGGGGGUGAACCAACAGAAGGAAGACCUUUCUCUCUGUCUCUCUCUCUCUCUCUCUCUCUCUCUCUCACUGUCUAACUCUACGUGUCAAAUAAAA
Molecule: non-coding RNA, 6226 nt
Organism: Oryctolagus cuniculus (rabbit)
Lineage: Eukaryota; Metazoa; Chordata; Mammalia; Lagomorpha; Leporidae
Source: RefSeq, a predicted model, not a curated record